This 393-nucleotide ribosomal RNA is filed under the name uncultured bacterium. RNAcentral's name for it is "partial 16S ribosomal RNA". It matches the Rfam family "Bacterial small subunit ribosomal RNA", at positions 523 to 918 of the family's 1533-position model. The record is from RNAcentral.
AUACGGAAGGUCCGGGCGUUAUCCGGAUUUAUUGGGUUUAAAGGGAGCGCAGGCGGGAUAUUAAGCGUGACGUGAAAUGUAGAUGCUCAACAUCUGAACUGCGUCGCGAACUGGCUUCCUUGAGUGCAUUCGACGUCAGCGGAAUUUGUGGUGUAGCGGUGAAAUGCUUAGAUAUCACGAAGAACUCCGAUUGCGAAGGCUGCUGACGAGACUGUAACUGACGCUAAAGCUCGAAAGGGCGGGUAUCGAACAGGAUUAGAUACCCUGGUAGUCCGCACGGUAAACGAUGGAUGCCCGCUGUUUGCGAUAUAUUGUAAGCGGCCAAGCGAAAGCGUUAAGCAUCCCACCUGGGGAGUACGCCGGCAACGGUGAAACUCAAAUGAAUUGGCGGGG